RNAcentral lists this ribosomal RNA (478 nucleotides) under uncultured bacterium. RNAcentral's name for it is "partial 16S ribosomal RNA". It matches the Rfam family "Bacterial small subunit ribosomal RNA", at positions 28 to 523 of the family's 1533-position model. The record is from RNAcentral.
GACGAACGCUGGCGGCGUGCUUAACACAUGCAAGUCGAACGGUAAGGCCCUUCGGGGUACACGAGUGGCGAACGGGUGAGUAACACGUGGGUGAUCUGCCCUGCACUUCGGGAUAAGCCUGGGAAACUGGGUCUAAUACCGGAUAGGACCCUGGGAUGCAUGUCCUGGGGUGGAAAGCUUUUGCGGUGUGGGAGGGGCCCGCGGCCUAUCAGCUUGUUGGUGGGGGGAUGGCCUACCAAGGCGCCGACGGGUAGCCGGCCUGAGAGGGUGAACGUCCACACUGGGACUGAGAUACGGCCCAGACUCCGACGGGAGGCAGCAGUGGGGAAUAUUGCACAAUGGGCGCAAGCCUGAUGCAGCGACGCCGCGUGAGGGAUGACGGCCUUCGGGCUGUAAACCUCUUUCAGCACCGACGAAGCGCAAGUGACGGUAGGUGCAGAAGAAGGACCGGCCAACUACGUGCCAGCAGCCGCAGUAA